RNAcentral lists this transfer RNA (74 nucleotides) under Borrelia hermsii. Its description in RNAcentral is "tRNA-Arg". It matches the Rfam family "tRNA". Rfam says of the family: Transfer RNA (tRNA) molecules are approximately 80 nucleotides in length. Lineage: Bacteria; Pseudomonadati; Spirochaetota; Spirochaetia; Spirochaetales; Borreliaceae. The record is from RNAcentral. RNAcentral also lists the same sequence under 22 other names.
GUGCCCAUAGCUCAGCUGGAUAGAGCAUUAGAUUGCGGUUCUGAAGGUCAGAGGUUCAAAUCCUCUUGGGCACG